GUUCUUAUAGUUGAAUACAACAGCAGUUUUUCAGACUGCAAGUCUAGGUUAAAGUCCUUGUAGGAAUU
This 68-nucleotide transfer RNA is filed under the name Osteocephalus aff. cabrerai DO-2022. RNAcentral describes it as "tRNA-Glu". It matches the Rfam family "tRNA". From Rfam's summary of the family: Transfer RNA (tRNA) molecules are approximately 80 nucleotides in length. Their secondary structure includes four short double-helical elements and three loops (D, anti-codon, and T loops). Further hydrogen bonds mediate the characteristic L-shaped molecular structure. tRNAs have two regions of fundamental functional importance: the anti-codon, which is responsible for specific mRNA codon recognition, and the 3' end, to which the tRNAs corresponding amino acid is attached (by aminoacyl-tRNA synthetases). tRNAs cope with the degeneracy of the genetic code in two manners: having more than one tRNA (with a specific anti-codon) for a particular amino acid; and 'wobble' base-pairing, i.e. permitting non-standard base-pairing at the 3rd anti-codon position. Lineage: Eukaryota; Metazoa; Chordata; Amphibia; Anura; Hylidae. RNAcentral also lists the same sequence under 1 other name. The record is from RNAcentral.